CCGAAGCUGGAUUCGCUAGUAAUCGCGCAUCAGCCAUGGCGCGGUGAAUACGUUCCCGGGCCUUGUACACACCGCCCGUCAAGCCAUGAAAGCCGGGGGGCGCCUGAAGUCCGUGACCGCGAGGGUCGGCCUAGGGUGAAACCGGUGAUUGGGGCUAAGUCGUAACAAGGUACC
Molecule: ribosomal RNA, 174 nt
Filed under: uncultured bacterium
Lineage: Bacteria
Description: partial 16S ribosomal RNA
Rfam family: Bacterial small subunit ribosomal RNA
Source: RNAcentral